UAUCAUUCAAAAUUCAAAAACUCUGUCCAACUCAAAAUUAUGGCUCCAGAUUCAAAAUUCAAACCAUCUAGAUAUGUAAUACUCUCUUCUUCAAUCAAUUACACUCUCUCUCUAUAUUCACUUUCUCUUUCACUUUCAAGAAUCGCAAAUGAAAUUAGGGUUUGCUGCAACCCAAUUCUCUCACUUAUUCACCAAAUUUCAACCUCCAAAUUUACCCUAAUUCCGUCGAUUACGCCACCAUGUCCACAGAGGAGCCACCGUUCUCCACCAUCACCAUUCCACCUCCUCACCAAAGACGACAUUUCUCAACUCAACCGCGAAGACUAACGCCGCUUCCUCAAACAAAAAGGUUUCGUUUUGUUUCGUAUCAUCCAACUUGAAAUGAAAAUUGCAAUUGAGUUUUUGUGUGUGCUAAUGUGUGAUUGAAAGGGUUUUUGAUGCUGAACAUUAUGAGUCUUUUAGAGAUAAAAGAAAAAGGGGUUGCAAUAAAGUUACAUAAUUUGGGAAAAUAAGGAUAAUUUAUGGUUUUUGUAUCCAAAUAGUCCUGAUUUAUUUGAUUAUUUUGAAGCUGGAGCAACCAUCCUUGAUAAAGAAAAGUAAGUCUGGCAUUAACUAAAAUGAAAUAUAUUAUCUUUCGUUUGUUAAAUUCCUUUAUAAAUGCUCAAGAUGUGAGAUAAAGAUGUAUUGGUGGAGCGUCAACUGCCAUGCCUGUUUCAUGAGUUUGUUGAUGAUAAAGAUGUGAGAUUGAUUAGUGUAGAGACUGCUGGUUCAAGGUUUCAUGAGUUUGCUGAUGAUAAACAUGAAUAGUAAAGAAUCUGGAUUUCAACAAAGUGCGAUUAUACGGGACAUAGAAGAAAUACUGAAGAUUGCUGGUGAAGAAAAGCUAUGCCAGAGAAGAUCUUGAAUUAGGUAAUCGCAAACAUGAAGCUGCCACAAAGCUGCAAAAAGUUUAUAAGAGUUUUAGAACAAGAAGAAAGCUUGCAGAUUGUGCAGUUCUUAUUGAACAAAGCUGGUGGAAGCUGUUAGAUUUUGCGGAACUUAAAAGAAGUUCGAUAUCAUUUUUUGAUCUUGAUAAACAAGAAACUUCGAUUUCGCGUUGGUCCAGAGCAAGAACAAGGGCUGCCAAGGUUGGAAAAGGCUUAUCAAAGAUGGCGUUGAUUGCGUUUCGAUACAAACAUGAUGCUCCGGCGUAAACAUACAAAAUGUGGAUUGUGGACAGUGACAUGCAAUAAGCAUCGGGAGCCUCAACAAAGAUUACAGUUCGUGAUACAAAGAUCCAUGACACAAUGACUGGAGUAGGAAUAAAGAUAUGGCAGAACUGCAGGCCAUUUUCUGAAGUUUAUAUGCCCAUGACUGAGGUGCAAUAUACAGUGAAUAUUGUUGAUCAGCCUGAGUUAGAAAUGAAAGAGAGGAUACAAGAAAAAUGGUGGACGAAUUAAACAACAGUCUUUCGAAGCAUAUGGAAUAGAUUAAGACAGAUUUAGUGGACCCCAAAAAACUUUAAGCCACACUCGCCGAUGAAUCUUUCUCUAACGGUUCCGAUCUCAAAAAGUCGCCAGAAAUGGUGGCACUACUCGAAGCACAGAUGAAUGAGAUGAACCCUAAUCUUGAUUCCAUCGCUGAUUACCGGAACAAAGUGUCACACCCCCAAAAUACCACAUGCGGAAUCCCCCACGAGGCGUGUGACGUACCAGGAUCUAGCCACUAAUCACAUUGAACUCACAUCAAGAUUUCAAAUAAAAGCUUUCAUUCAUUAUGAUAUAGUGUUACAAAACAUUAUUUAUAACUUGUUGUGUUCAGCGGAAGCAUAAUACAAAGUUUAACCCAAACCCAAGUGUAUGUAAUCACCUAGUCUCAUUUCAAGUAUCCAUGUGUCUCGACCCAUGUAACACCUCGGAAAUUUACGUCCAAUAAUGCAA
Molecule: long non-coding RNA, 1919 nt
Organism: Helianthus annuus (common sunflower)
Lineage: Eukaryota; Viridiplantae; Streptophyta; Magnoliopsida; Asterales; Asteraceae
Exons: 9
Source: RefSeq, a predicted model, not a curated record